UUCAUUCAAGUCAAUUGUGUGAACAGGAGGAACGUGCAAUCAGAUUGGACCUAGUGCUUGGAACAGUAAUGCUCCAACCUGUGCUGAUAGUGCACAACAACUUUGAAGCAAACCCCUUGGUGGAGGAGACCUGUGUCACUCACAUGUUGCAUUGCUGAAAUUCAGAUAUUUUCCUGCUUUCUCCUCCUAAGAGCUCUGAAAUAUAAACCCUGCAGAAAGAAGUUCAGAGGUGGCUUUUGCCUUGGCUGUACUCCUUGGAACUGGUAAAAGGCAAACAAAGAGAGGAAGAAGCUUGAAAACCAUUACCUGUCUACUGCCUUCAGUCCUGCCAAGAGCUGCUGUGCCAAGCAAAGCCAGAAUUUAGCCGAUACCUUCUGAGUUAUGUUGAUAACAAGUGGCUGCCUAACGAUAUUUUGUACCUCAAAGAUUUCUCCUCAUUUAAUACACUGGAAUCUCAGUGACCCCAGCAGAAAGAAAGCUGUUUGAAGUGUACUUGAGUGGAAGAAAAACAGAAGGUGUGUCCGAAGUAGCUU
This 533-nucleotide long non-coding RNA is filed under the name Cairina moschata (Muscovy duck). RNAcentral's name for it is "domestica (muscovy Duck (domestic type)) lncRNA (ENSCMMG00000006481.1)". The record is from RNAcentral. Lineage: Eukaryota; Metazoa; Chordata; Aves; Anseriformes; Anatidae.